This 253-nucleotide ribosomal RNA is filed under the name uncultured bacterium. RNAcentral describes it as "partial 16S ribosomal RNA". It matches the Rfam family "Bacterial small subunit ribosomal RNA", at positions 524 to 776 of the family's 1533-position model. The record is from RNAcentral.
UACAGAGGGUGCGAGCGUUAAUCGGAAUUACUGGGCGUAAAGCGUGCGUAGACGGUUACGUAAGUCGGGUGUGAAAGCCCCGGGCUCAACCUGGGAAUUGCAUUCGAGACUGCGAAGCUAGGGUGCGGAAGAGGGAAGCGGAAUUUCCGGUGUAGCGGUGAAAUGCGUAGAUAUCGGAAGGAACAUCAGUGGCGAAAGCGGCUUCCUGGUCCAGCACCGACGUUCAGGCACGAAAGCGUGGGGAGCAAACAGG